Molecule: long non-coding RNA, 715 nt
Organism: Spodoptera frugiperda (fall armyworm)
Lineage: Eukaryota; Metazoa; Arthropoda; Insecta; Lepidoptera; Noctuidae
Exons: 4
Source: RefSeq, a predicted model, not a curated record
UAGGUGUUUCGUUUUAUGUAAGUGAACAGUUGUCUUUGGCUUCUGAUGAUAUGAAGAGCUAUGAUGAUUCCCCGCUAAUUGUAAAAUGAGCGAGCGAACGCGCCCGUGACUUCCGUUUCCGGCGGCGCGCCUGCGCAGCAUCCGCGCAUGAGCACUAGACCGACGCGGCUGUCAAUACUGUCAGUUGACCAACAAGUGCAUGCCUGUGUGACAUCGGAAGCGGAAGCUGCUCCCACGCGGGGAGGGUUCCGGCGCACGCGCACGCCGUGAUCUCUGACGUCACUUCCGGACGGGCCUUGAUUGAGAGUGAGUUCAUCAGUAGCCUCGUGUUCGGCGUCGGCGACGCGUGCCCGGAAGCGUCACGGCCGCGUGAAGACCGGAAAUGGGCAGGAUGACCGGAUCCUAUCUCCGCUCUCCUGCCUACCUGCCGGCCAUGUUGUGACGUCACCUCGCCCCGGCACAUGCUUCGCACAAUACCACACUCUGGUUAGAUUUUGGAGUUGUUCUGUCACUCAGAAACCGUUUCUCCGGAAGAAUUCACAACUCUGAAUUUGACUAGAGAAAUGUAUUUUAGAUAUUUGUGGUCAGUUUUAGUAGAGUGAACAUUCUUGUGGUAUCAUAAAAUGUAAACCUUCUGUUACGUUCCAUGUGCACUAAUAUGUUUAUAUAUUAGAAUUACAUUUAAGAUAAAAGUUUAUGUACCAAAAGUGUAAAU